This 497-nucleotide ribosomal RNA is filed under the name uncultured bacterium. RNAcentral's name for it is "partial 16S ribosomal RNA". It matches the Rfam family "Bacterial small subunit ribosomal RNA", at positions 36 to 507 of the family's 1533-position model. The record is from RNAcentral.
UCUUCCCUCUGGCGGCGUGCCUAAUACAUGCAAGUCGAGCGAACAGACGAGGAGCUUGCUCCUCUGACGUUAGCGGCGGACGGGUGAGUAACACGUGGAUAACCUACCUAUAAGACUGGGAUAACUUCGGGAAACCGGAGCUAAUACCGGAUAAUAUAUUGAACCGCAUGGUUCAAUGGUGAAAGACGGUUUUGCUGUCACUUAUAGAUGGAUCCGCGCCGCAUUAGCUAGUUGGUAAGGUAACGGCUUACCAAGGCAACGAUGCGUAGCCGACCUGAGAGGGUGAUCGGCCACACUGGAACUGAGACACGGUCCAGACUCCUACGGGAGGCAGCAGUAGGGAAUCUUCCGCAAUGGGCGAAAGCCUGACGGAGCAACGCCGCGUGAGUGAUGAAGGUCUUCGGAUCGUAAAACUCUGUUAUUAGGGAAGAACAAAUGUGUAAGUAACUAUGCACGUCUUGACGGUACCUAAUCAGAAAGCCACGGCUAACUACGUG